AAAAUUGAUCGAGAGGGGAAGCCACGGA
This 28-nucleotide non-coding RNA is filed under the name Cricetulus griseus (Chinese hamster). The record is from RNAcentral. Lineage: Eukaryota; Metazoa; Chordata; Mammalia; Rodentia; Cricetidae.